GUCGCAAGAUUAAAACUCAAAGGAAUUGACGGGGACCCGCACAAGCGGUGGAUGAUGUGGAUUAAUUCGAUGCAACGCGAAAAACCUUACCUACCCUUGACAUGUCAGGAAUCCUCGAGAGAUCGAGGAGUGCCCGAAAGGGAGCCUGAACACAGGUGCUGCAUGGCUGUCGUCAGCUCGUGUCGUGAGAUGUUGGGUUAAGUCCCGCAACGAGCGCAACCCUUGUCAUUAGUUGCUACGAAAGGGCACUCUAAUGAGACUGCCGGUGACAAACCGGAGGAAGGUGGGGAUGACGUCAGGUCCUCAUGGCCCUUAUGGGUAGGGCUACACACGUCAUACAAUGGCCGGUACAGAGGGCUGCCCACCCGCGAGGGGGAGCUAAUCCCAUAAAACCAGUCGUAGUCCGGAUCGCAGUCUGCAACUCGACUGCGUGAAGUCGGAAUCGCUAGUA
Molecule: ribosomal RNA, 451 nt
Filed under: uncultured bacterium
Lineage: Bacteria
Description: bacterial SSU rRNA
Rfam family: Bacterial small subunit ribosomal RNA
Source: RNAcentral